Polypterus senegalus (gray bichir) is the source of this 161-nucleotide long non-coding RNA. RefSeq lists it as uncharacterized. The record is from RefSeq and is a predicted model, not a curated record. Lineage: Eukaryota; Metazoa; Chordata; Cladistia; Polypteriformes; Polypteridae. The transcript is spliced from 3 exons.
CACCACCACCUUCUCCUUUUGCAUAUGUAAAUACUGGGACUCCAACAAUCCAAAUACACCAGUCACAUUCUGAGGAAAAGGAGUUGGAUCUUAAACAAGGUUUUUCUGAAUUGGAAUUGCUUGUUGAAGAUGAAAUUUGUAUCAGCAUAAGAAGAGAAAAA